CUACGGCCUCAAAUCAGACGUGGCGACCCGCUGAAUUUAAGCAUAUUACUAAGCUGAGGAAAAAUAAACUAACCAGGAUUCCCUCAGUAACAGCAAGUGGAGAGGGAAGAGCCCAGCGCUGAAUCCCCGUUCAGCGGCAGGCGUGGGAAAUGUGGCAUACGGAAGAUCGACUCCCCAGUGUUUCUCAGGGGGUUCAAGUCCUUCUGAUAGAAUCUCGCCCUGCGGACAGUAUUAGGCCGGUAGCAGCCUCCAACACUCUGGGAUCAGGUCUUGUCGGAGUCCGGUUGCUUGGGAAUGCAGCCCAAAGCGGGUGGUUAACUCCAUCUAAGGCUGAAUACGGGCGUGAGACCGAUGGCCAACAAGUACCGUAAGUGAAAGUUGAAAAGAACUUUGAAGAGAGAGUUAGGGUGUGAAACUGUUGAAAGGUAAACGGGUGGGGUAGGUGCAGUCCACCCGCAGGAUUCAACACGGCGGGCAGGGUAGUCGCCUAGAAUGGCGGAUGCCCUUGCGGGACUGCCGCCUUAGCACAUCCGGCCCCCGUCGGGUGCUUUUCCUCAGUGGUGGUGCACCGCGACCGGCUCUGGGUCGGCUAGGAGGGCCACAGGGGGCAGGUGCCCUCUGCUCCGGCAGAGAGUGUUACAGCCCUCUGUAAGCAGUUUUGCUGUGUCUGCGGGGCUAAGGAGAUUGACCACUGCUGCGUCCUUCUCUGUCCCCUCAUCAAGGGCGGCGAUGGGAGACGGGGCUCCCGAUGCAACUUUUUUUAGUCUGUGGUGGGCUGUACUCAGUGUGCCCCAAACACAUUGCGCCACCGGGCGGGGAGGCCCACGAAGGGCGCCAGGUGUCUGGGUGAUGUCGGUUACCCACCUGACCCGUCUUGAAACAUGGACCAAGGAGUCUAAAACGUGCGCGAGUCAGAGGGCUGAACGAAACCCAGUGGUGUAAAAAAGGUGAUGGCUGGCGUGCGCCGGCUGGGGUGGGAUCCAGUCGCGGUGGGCGCACUACCAGCCCAUCUCGCCCACUCUGUCAGGGAGGUGGAGCAUGAGUGUGUGUGAUAAGACCGGAAAGAUGGUGAACUAGGCCUGGGCAGGGUGAAGCCAGUGGAAGCUCUGGUGGAGGUCCAAAGUGGUCCUGGCGUGCAAAUCGGUCGUCUGACCUGGGUACAGGAGCAAAAGACUAAUCGAACAUCUAGUAGCUGGUUCCCUCUGGAUAGCUGGCGCACGGAAACCCCAGUUGUAUAUGGUAAAGCAAAUACUUAGAGGUCUUGGGGCCAAUUCUCAAACUUUAAAUGGGUAAGAAAUCUGCCUUGCUGGCGUGGAGCUGGGCAUUGAAUGCAAGUGCUCAGUGGGCCACUUUUGGUAAGCAGAACUGACGUUGUGGGAUGAACCGAACGCUGGGAUAAGGCGCCCGAUGCCGACGCUCUUCAGACUCCAGAAAAGGUGUUGGUUGAUACAGAGAGCAGGACGGUGGCCAUGGAAGUUGGAAUCCGCUAAGGAGUGUUUAACAACUCACCUGCCAAAUCAACUAGACCUGAAAAUGUAUGGUGCUGGAGCAUCUGGGCCAAACCCGGCCGGCGCUGAGAGCCGCGGGGACUAAGCCGUGACGAGUAGGAGGGCCACUGCGGUGCACACGGAAGCAUGGGGCGAGGGUCCGGGUGGAGAAACCACAGGUCCAGAUCUUGUUGGUAAUAGCAAAUAUUCAAGCAAGAACUUUGAAGGCCGAAGUGGAGAAGGGUUUCAUGUGAACAGCAGUUGAACAUGGCUCAGUUGGUCCUAAGAAAUGGUUGGGUGCCGUUCGGAAGCGACGGGCGAUGGCCUCUGUUGCCCUCAGACGAUCAAAAGGGAGUCGGGUUCAGAUCCCCGAACCCAGAGUGGCAGAGACAGGCAGGGACCCUCGCAUCGUCCAGUGCUGUAACGCAAAUGAUCCCAGAGAAGCUAGCGCGAUCCCUGGGGAGAGUUCUGUUUUCUUUGGGAAGGGCACCCUGGAAUGGGUUUGCCGCAAGAGAGCGGCCCGCGCUUUGGAAAGCAUUGCGGUUCCCGUGGCAUCUGGUGAUGCCUCGUCAUCUAAUUGGUGACGUGCAUGAAUGGAUUAACAAGAUUUCCACUGUCCCUACCUACUAUCUAGUGAAACCACAGCCAAGGGAACAGGCUUGACAGAAUCAGCGGGGACAGAAUACCCUGUUGAGAUUCACUCUAGUCUGGCACCGUGAAGAGACAUGAGAGGUGUAGGAUCAGUGGGAGCCCCUCGGGCUGCCGGUGAAAUACCACUACUCUUAUUGUGUUUUCACUUACCCAGUGAGGCGGAGUGUGUGAGCCCCUUGGGACUCUCGCUUCUGGCUCCGACCCGCUUCUGGCUCCGCCCACUCCGGCAACAGUGGCAGGUGGGGAUUUUGACUGAGGCGGUACACCUGGCAAACCAUAACGCAGGUGUCCUAAGGCAAGCUCAGGGAGGACAGAAACCUCCCACGGAGCAGAAGGGCCAAAGCUUGUUUGAUCUCGAUUUUCAGUGUGAAUACAGACAGUGAAAGUGGUGCCUCAGGAUCCUUCUGACUUUUUGGGUUUCAAGCAGGAGGUGUCAGAAAAGUUACCACAGGCAUAAAUGGCUUGUGACGGCCAAGCCUUCAUAGCGACGUCGCUUUUUGAUCCUUAGAUGUAGUCUCUUUCUAUCAUUGUGAAGCAGAAUUCACCAAGAGUUGGAUUGUUCACCCACUAAUAGGGAACAUGAGCUGGGUUUAGACCGUUGUGAGGCAUGUUCGUUUUACCCUACUGAUGAUGUUUUGUUGAAAUAGUAAUCCUGCUCAGUACGAGAGGAACCGCAGGUUCAGACAAUUGGUGUAUGUGCUUGGCUGAGGAGCCAAUGGGCAAAGCUACCAUCUGUGGGAUUAUGACUGAACGCCUAUAACUCAGAAUCCCCCCCCAACUGUAAUGGUACUUCAGCGCUGUGGAGCCUCGGUUGGCCUAGGA
This 2960-nucleotide ribosomal RNA is filed under the name Ambystoma mexicanum (axolotl). Its description in RNAcentral is "eukaryotic LSU rRNA". It matches the Rfam family "Eukaryotic large subunit ribosomal RNA". Lineage: Eukaryota; Metazoa; Chordata; Amphibia; Caudata; Ambystomatidae. The record is from RNAcentral.